Molecule: ribosomal RNA, 497 nt
Filed under: uncultured bacterium
Lineage: Bacteria
Description: partial 16S ribosomal RNA
Rfam family: Bacterial small subunit ribosomal RNA
Source: RNAcentral
GAUGAACGCUGGCGGCGUGCCUAAUACAUGCAAGUCGAGCGAACAGACGAGGAGCUUGCUCCUCUGACGUUAGCGGCGGACGGGUGAGUAACACGUGGAUAACCUACCUAUAAGACUGGGAUAACUUCGGGAAACCGGAGCUAAUACCGGAUAACAUGUUGAACCGCAUGGUUCAACAGUGAAAGACGGUCUUGCUGUCACUUAUAGAUGGAUCCGCGCCGCAUUAGCUAGUUGGUAAGGUAACGGCUUACCAAGGCAACGAUGCGUAGCCGACCUGAGAGGGUGAUCGGCCACACUGGAACUGAGACAAGGUCCAGACUCCUACGGGAGGCAGCAGUAGGGAAUCUUCCGCAAUGGGCGAAAGCCUGACGGAGCAACGCCGCGUGAGUGAUGAAGGUCUUCGGAUCGUAAAACUCUGUUAUUAGGGAAGAACAAAUGUGUAAGUAACUAUGCACGUCUUGACGGUACCUAACCAGAAAGCCACGGCUAACUACGUG